GUGAAUCAUCAAAUUUUUGAACGCAAAUUGCACUCCCUGGUAUUCCGGGGAGUAUGCCUGUUUGAGAGUCGGUAAAAUAAAAAAUCGAGGCAUCGCGCUUUUUUUUAAGGGUUUUCACGUCUCAAUUGAUCCGUCUUUUAAAUUUUAAUGUAUGUCAAAGUUGCUUAAAAUGCAUCCAUCCCUUACGAUGAAAGCGUAUUUUAGAACAACUGUGAUUU
Molecule: unclassified non-coding RNA, 218 nt
Filed under: Glomeraceae sp.
Lineage: Eukaryota; Fungi; Glomeromycota; Glomeromycetes; Glomerales; Glomeraceae
Description: partial contains 5.8S ribosomal RNA and internal transcribed spacer 2
Rfam family: 5.8S ribosomal RNA (bases 1-71)
Source: RNAcentral